UACAGAGGUCUCAAGCGUUGUUCGGAUUCAUUGGGCGUAAAGGGUGCGUAGGCGGCGCGGUAAGUCGGGUGUGAAAUCUCGGAGCUUAACUCCGAAACUGCAUUCGAUACUGCCGUGCUUGAGGACUGGAGAGGAGACUGGAAUUUACGGUGUAGCGGUGAAAUGCGUAGAUAUCGUAAGGAAGACCAGUGGCGAAGGCGGGUCUCUGGACAGUUCCUGACGCUGAGGCACGAAAGCGUGGGUAGCAAACAGG
RNAcentral lists this ribosomal RNA (253 nucleotides) under uncultured bacterium. RNAcentral's name for it is "partial 16S ribosomal RNA". It matches the Rfam family "Bacterial small subunit ribosomal RNA", at positions 524 to 776 of the family's 1533-position model. The record is from RNAcentral.